GAUGAACGCUGGCGGCGUGCCUAAUACAUGCAAGUCGAGCGAACAGACGAGGAGCUUGCUCCUCUGACGUUAGCGGCGGACGGGUGAGUAACACGUGGAUAACCUACCUAUAAGACUGGGAUAACUUCGGGAAACCGGAGCUAAUACCGGAUAAUAUAUUGAACCGCAUGGUUCAAUAGUGAAAGACGGUUUUGCUGUCACUUAUAGAUGGAUCCGCGCCGCAUUAGCUAGUUGGUAAGGUAACGGCUUACCAAGGCAACGAUGCGUAGCCGACCUGGGAGGGUGAUCGGCCACACCGGAACUGAGACACGGUCCAGACUCCUACGGGAGGCAGCAGUAGGGAAUCUUCCGCAAUGGGCGAAAGCCUGACGGAGCAACGCCGCGUGAGUGAUGAAGGUCUUCGGAUCGUAAAACUCUGUUAUUAGGGAAGAACAAAUGUGUAAGUAACUAUGCACGUCUUGACGGUACCUAAUCAGAAAGCCACGGCUAACUACGUG
Molecule: ribosomal RNA, 497 nt
Filed under: uncultured bacterium
Lineage: Bacteria
Description: partial 16S ribosomal RNA
Rfam family: Bacterial small subunit ribosomal RNA
Source: RNAcentral